Molecule: ribosomal RNA, 468 nt
Filed under: uncultured bacterium
Lineage: Bacteria
Description: partial 16S ribosomal RNA
Rfam family: Bacterial small subunit ribosomal RNA
Source: RNAcentral
GACGAACGCUGGCGGCGUGCUUAACACAUGCAAGCCGAACGGAAAGGCCCUGCUUCUGCGGGGUGCCCGAGCGGCGAAAGAGUGAGUAACACGUGAGUAACCUGCCCUUGACUUUGGGAUAACUUCAGGAAACUGGGGCCAAUACCGGAUAGGAGCUCCUGCUGCAUGGCGGGGGCUGGAAAGUUUCGGCGGUUGGGGAUGGACUCGCGCCUCAUCAGCUUGUUGGUGGGGUAGUGCCUUACCAAGGCUUUGACGGGUAGCCGGCCUGCCAGGGUGACCGGCCACACUGGGACGAAGGUACGGCCGCUAGUCAUACGGGAAGCAGAAAGGGGGAAUUUUUCCCGAUGGGCGGAAGCCUGAUGCAGCAACGCCGCGUGCGGGAUACCGGCAUUCGGGUUUUAAUCCGCUUUCGCCUGUGACGAAGUGUGAGUGACGGUAAUGGGUAAAGAAGCCCCGGCUAACUACGUG